GGCCCAGACUCCUACGGGAGGCAGCAGUGGGGAAUAUUGCACAAUGGGGGAAACCCUGAUGCAGCGACGCCGCGUGAGCGAUGAAGUAUUUCGGUAUGUAAAGCUCUAUCAGCAGGGAAGAAAAUGACGGUACCUGACUAAGAAGCCCCGGCUAACUACGUGCCAGCAGCCGCGGCAAUACGUAGGGGGCAAGCGUUAUCCGGAUUUACUGGGUGUAAAGGGAGCGUAGACGGCAGUGCAAGUCCGGAGUGAAAGCCCGGGGCUCAACCCUGGGACUGCUCUGGAAGCUGUAAAGCUGGAGUGCGGGAGGGGCAGGCGGAAUUCCUGGUGUAGCGGUGAAAUGCGUAGAUAUCAGGAGGAACACCGGCGGCGAAGGCGGCCUGCUGGACCGUAACUGACGUUGAGGCUCGAAAGCGUGGGGAGCAAACAGGAUUAGAUACCCUAGUAU
RNAcentral lists this ribosomal RNA (448 nucleotides) under uncultured bacterium. RNAcentral describes it as "partial 16S ribosomal RNA". It matches the Rfam family "Bacterial small subunit ribosomal RNA", at positions 328 to 793 of the family's 1533-position model. The record is from RNAcentral.